GAUGAACGCUGGCGGCGUGCCUAAUACAUGCAAGUCGAGCGAACAGACGAGGAGCUUGCUCCUCUGACGUUAGCGGCGGACGGGUGAGUAACACGUGGAUAACCUACCUAUAAGACUGGGAUAACUUCGGGAAACCGGAGCUAAUACCGGAUAAUAUAUUGUACCGCAUGGUUCAAUAGUGAAAGACGGUUUUGCUGUCACUUAUAGAUGGAUCCGCGCCGCAUUAGCUAGUUGGUAAGGUAACGGCUUACCAAGGCAACGAUGCGUAGCCGACCUGAGAGGGUGAUCGGCCACACUGGAACUGAGACACGGUCCAGACUCCUACGGGAGGCAGCAGUAGGGAAUCUUCCGCAAUGGGCGAAAGCCUGACGGAGCAACGCCGCGUGAGUGAUGAAGGUCUUCGGAUCGUAAAACUCUGUUAUUAGGGAAGAACAAAUGUGUGAGUAACUAUGCACGUCUUGACGGUACCUAAUCAGAAAGCCACGGCUAACUACGUG
This 497-nucleotide ribosomal RNA is filed under the name uncultured bacterium. RNAcentral's name for it is "partial 16S ribosomal RNA". It matches the Rfam family "Bacterial small subunit ribosomal RNA", at positions 28 to 507 of the family's 1533-position model. The record is from RNAcentral.